AAAACUCAAAGGAAUUGACGGGGACCCGCACAAGCGGUGGAUGAUGUGGAUUAAUUCGAUGCAACGCGAAUAACCUUACCUACCCUUGACAUGUACGGAAGCCCUCAGAGAUGGGGGCGUGCCCGAAAGGGAGCCGUAACACAGGUGCUGCAUGGCUGUCGUCAGCUCGUGUCGUGAGAUGUUGGGUUAAGUCCCGCAACGAGCGCAACCCUUGUCCCUAGUUGCUACGCAAGGGCACUCUAGGGAGACUGCCGGUGACAAACCGGAGGAAGGUGGGGAUGACGUCAAGUCCUCAUGGCCCUUAUGGGUAGGGCUUCACACGUCAUACAAUGGCCGGUACAGAGGGUUGCCAAAGCGCGAGCUGGAGCCAAUCCCAGAAAGCCGGUCGUAGUCCGGAUUGCAGUCUGCAACUCGACUGCAUGAAGUCGGAAUCGCUAGUAAUCGCGGAUCAGCAUGUCGCGGUGAAUACGUUCCCGGGUCUUGUACACACCGCCCGUCACACCAUGGGAGCGGGAUGUACCAGAAGUAGGUAGGCUAACCGCAAGGGGGCCGCUACACG
RNAcentral lists this ribosomal RNA (559 nucleotides) under uncultured beta proteobacterium. RNAcentral's name for it is "bacterial SSU rRNA". It matches the Rfam family "Bacterial small subunit ribosomal RNA", at positions 896 to 1460 of the family's 1533-position model. The record is from RNAcentral. Lineage: Bacteria; Pseudomonadati; Pseudomonadota; Betaproteobacteria.